GGUUCCCUCCGAAGUUUCCCUCAGGA
RNAcentral lists this non-coding RNA (26 nucleotides) under Arabidopsis thaliana (thale cress). Lineage: Eukaryota; Viridiplantae; Streptophyta; Magnoliopsida; Brassicales; Brassicaceae. RNAcentral also lists the same sequence under 3 other names. The record is from RNAcentral.